This is a non-coding RNA of Myodes glareolus (Bank vole), 1355 nucleotides long. NCBI's taxonomy places the organism in Eukaryota, Metazoa, Chordata, Mammalia, Rodentia, Cricetidae. The record is from RefSeq and is a predicted model, not a curated record.
ACCGCCGCCGCGUUCGGGAAAGGAGAGGCGUUGGAUUCUUCCCGAGCUGUGUGACCUCGGUUGCCCUGAGAGCGCCGGUCCCAGUCGCUGUGGACACCCGAGACGUCCCUACUAAAUCUCCUCGUGCACUAGCUUGGAUGUCUUCUAGAAUUUGCGAGCUGAUAGGUGAUUGGAGGCUCCUACCCUGUGCUCAAGCUUCUGUGGAGUCCUGGGUGAUGGAAGCAGAAGCUCCCAAGCCAGGCAUCUCCUUUCCUCCCCUGCUCAGGUUGCCUUCCGGUACCCACAGCAACAUCUCAGCGCUCUGACAGUUACAUCCGCUAUUUCUUUAGAUGGAGCCUCUUGCCUGCAGCCUGUCUUGCCAGACCAGGCUGCAUGCACAGUGAGCCUCAACCACACAUAGAGGUUCACCCCUGUAACCCGCACUCCAGGAGGACUCCUGCGUGUUUGAGACGAACAUGAGUAAAAUAGUGAGUUUCGAGUCAACCUGGGCUAAAUGAGGAGACCCUGCCUCAAAACAACAAAAUCCACUCAGCCACAGGUUCCAGGGUAGUCUGCUAUACGUAGCAAGACUCUCAAAAGUUUGGCUGGUUGGUUGGCUUUUCGAGAAAGGGUUUCUCUGUGUAGCCUUAUCUGUCCUGGAGUUCACUCUAUAGACCAGGCUGCCCUCGAACUCACAGAGAACCUCCUGUGAUUAAAGGUGUGUGCCUCCACCACCCCGCCACACCAAGUGUUUGUAACUGCUCAGUUAUCUUCAUACCUUCUUAAAACUGCCUGAUACUUAUUCAAUAACCCUGAACUCACCCCCUACUCUUUGCCAGGUGUUAUGCUAAUUAAGCUUGAGAAUUACAAAGGAUCAUCCCUCUCUACACAGCAUGUCGUAUGUAAACAAAAUACAUCGAUACAUCGUGAUAAAUAUCAUGACAGACACAUUGCAAGGAAUCAUACAGACACACAGCUUUGGAAUACAGAGUGGUUACCUAAGACUUUCUUGUCUAGGGAAACUGGCUGACGCAAGAAAGACAGAUGGCAGCUGGCAAGAAAGAUGGGUCUCAGACUCUCCCUACAUCCAGUUGGCCCUGAAAUAAUGACAGAUCAAAGCCUGGACUUUUCCUUCACACCUUGUUCCUGUUUCCCCAGCACCAUGGUGGCCAGCAGGACAGGAGCGAGGAAGAAGGCAGUUGAGCCAUUUGUCAAGUGAGAUUGGUGUGGUGUGGAAGCUCCAGCUGUGGCCAGCAUUAAAGACAUUAGAAAAUAUCAGUCACGAGGACUCAGGGGAGCAAGACUGCAUGUGAUGGCCUCCAGGGUCCUGUGUCUGAAGUGAGCCUACUGAGCCUUGCUGAUGUACAGCAUGGCAA